Molecule: ribosomal RNA, 538 nt
Filed under: uncultured bacterium
Lineage: Bacteria
Description: bacterial SSU rRNA
Rfam family: Bacterial small subunit ribosomal RNA
Source: RNAcentral
GCGAGAAAGUGGAGCAAUCCAUGAGUAAAGCGGCGUACGGGUGAGUAACACGUGGAUCAUCUACCUCUUAGUGGGGAAUAACCCUGGGAAACCGGGGCUAAUACCGCAUAAUCUCGAGAGAGGAAAGCAGCAAUGCGCUGAGAGAGGAGUCCGCGGCCGAUUAGCUAGUUGGUAGGGUAAAAGCCUACCAAGGCAAAGAUCGGUAGCCGGCCUGAGAGGGCACACGGCCACACUGGCACUGAAACACGGGCCAGACUCCUACGGGAGGCAGCAGUGGGGAAUCUUGCACAAUGGGGGAAACCCAGAUGCAGCGACGCCGCGUGAGCGAUGAAGCCCUUCGGGGUGUAAAGCUCUUUCGGCAGGGAAGAUGAUGACGGUACCUGCAGAAGCAGCUGCGGCUAACUACGUGCCAGCAGCCGCGGUAAUACGUAGGCAGCAAGCGUGGUUCGGAGUUACUGGGCGUAAAGGGUGUGUAGGCGGUUGCUUAAGUUUGGUGUGAAAUCUCCCGGCUCAACUGGGAGGGUGCGCCGAAUACUGA